RNAcentral lists this ribosomal RNA (498 nucleotides) under uncultured bacterium. RNAcentral's name for it is "partial 16S ribosomal RNA". It matches the Rfam family "Bacterial small subunit ribosomal RNA", at positions 28 to 523 of the family's 1533-position model. The record is from RNAcentral.
GAUGAACGCUAGCGGCAGGCCUAAUACAUGCAAGUCGGACGGGAUUCGGGAGCUUGCUCCUGAUGAGAGUGGCGCACGGGUGCGUAACACGUAUGCAACCUACCUUUACCAGGGGGAUAGCCUCUCGAAAGAGAGAUUAACACCGCAUAAAAUUAGUUUAUGGCAUCAUAAAUUGAUCAAAUAUUUAUAGGGUAAAGAAGGGCAUGCGGAACAUUAGCUAGUUGGUAAGGUAACGGCUUACCAAGGCGACGAUGUUUAGGGGAUCUGAGAGGAUGACCCCCCACACUGGUACUGAGACACGGACCAGACUCCUACGGGAGGCAGCAGUAAGGAAUAUUGGUCAAUGGGCGCGAGCCUGAACCAGCCAUGCCGCGUGCAGGAAGACGGCCCUACGGGUUGUAAACUGCUUUUGUACGGGAAUAAACCCUGAUACGUGUAUCAGGCUGAAUGUACCGUAAGAAUAAGGAUCGGCUAACUCCGUGCCAGCCGCCGCAGUAA